Ruditapes philippinarum (Manila clam) is the source of this 1879-nucleotide long non-coding RNA. RefSeq lists it as uncharacterized. The transcript has 2 exons. Lineage: Eukaryota; Metazoa; Mollusca; Bivalvia; Venerida; Veneridae. The record is from RefSeq and is a predicted model, not a curated record.
AUAAUAAUAAUAAUAAUAAUAAUAAUAAUAAUAAAGGCUUUAUUUAACGAGGCUACAUAUUCGCCAAAACGAUCUUCCAUAUGUACCUCAACAUAUUUACAACAUAUUUACAUCAAAUAAUUAUACAAAAGACAAUGUAAUAUUAUAAAACAUGGUAUUAACUAGUUAUAAAUGCAAUGACAAACUAAACAUAAAUAUUAACCAUUAACAAUGAAAACUGCAGUAAACAUAAUUAUACAAACAUAAUACUAUGGUAUUGGUUUAACCAGAGUACUUCCACUUUAUGUAAGCUUUUUUGAAUUUUUCAGUACUUUCAGACUGACGUACAUAAAGUGGUAUAUUAUUCCAGAUUUUAGUUCCAGAAUAAGAAAGUGAUUUACGGUAAAACUCAAGAUUAGGUUUAGGGACAUUGCACAACUAGACUUGCUACUGAUCAUUCCUGUAAAGUUUGGAUGGAAUUGCACCAGUAGUUUAUGAGGAGUAGUCCGGACAAGUUUUGUGAUGGACAGACAGACGGACGGACGUUCUCACAGGACAGUAAUUAUGUGGCUACUCUAUUGUUCUCUCUAUUGUUCUUUUAAGCCACACAAAAGAAAAUAGCCACAUAAAAGCAUUAUGGAAUGAAUGACAUCAAAGAGAAAGAACAGUUACCUAUUGUCCCUCUAGCCACAUAAUUACUCUCCUGUGAGUGCGGAUAGACAGACAGACAGACAGACGACGGAGAAGUGAUCCCUAUAUGUCGCCACUACUCCGUAGAGGCGACACAAAAAUGGCCCUGUCCAUUUUUGGAACUAUCUUGCUCACAGUAAAUUACAGUCCAUAAUCAAAGUGAAAAUUUUAAGUUGAUCAGCAAAAGGUAUAUAAAGCCUAAUCAGAAUGGGUGUUGGUUUAACUGGCAAGUGGCUCAUAAUUAUUAUACUGGUAGAAACUACUACCUGGAGCAGAGUGAAGGCUAGAAGCAUUUUAAAAUGAUCAAUCAUAGUUGUUAUAUUGGCUGAUAGCAUUUUUAUGUAAUAGUAAAUGGUUCAAUAAUUUUUGAGAGGCAAAUAAUUAAAAGUUAUGAGCCUAAGGAGAAAGCCUGUGCAUUAUAACAACACUUGUUCAGUUUUGGCUCACAGACAAUUCCCAUAGCUGCAGUUUUCUAUAUAUAAAUUGAACAAUGCAACACAACAUUACUGGGUUAAGAUGCAUCACAUAUGUGCAUUAAGUCAUUCUUUCAUUUUAUGAUAGUUUAUAAUGUAUGUUCAGAUAUGAAUUUUUCCACUUGUUAAAAUCUAUAUCUCGUGAAAAAAUAGUUUCUGUUAACUCAGCGAAAAUCUAUUGAAAGUAAUAAACUUACAAUGUUUGUAUACAGCUGUAUAAGAACUAUAAUAUAAAAUGUCAAAGAUUUUCUUAUUUGAUUUCUAUUGUUAGGCUUAAUAAUAUUUUCUUCCUUUAAUUGAAUUACAAUGUUAUUCUCAAACAACUUGAAAUAUCUAUAAAUAUAAUGCAAGGUUUUCUCAUAAACUCACAAAAUCUCAUCCAUGAAUCUGGCAUCUCAAAUUAAAAUACUCUGUUCCCAUUUAUACUCGUAUAAUUAUAUAGCUAAAUAUGACAUUGAGCAGGAAACCAAUAACCUGCAAUAGUGUUUACAAAUAGAAAAAAAGAAAUGAUAGAGCUAUUUAAACUUUAAAACACCUUACUGCAAACCAAUGUAAAGUUGUAACUGACCUUAACAAAAUGUCCAAAAUCAAAACAAAAUGUUAUGAGCAGCAGGACUGACUGUACCAUCUGUGUCAUAAUGCUUAUAAUAUACAAUAUAUUCACAAUAUAAUAAAAAAUCAAAUUAAUAUAAAUUAUCUAAAGAAAAAAUAAAAGGCAGAAGAAUGAAAAAAAAAAC